Molecule: ribosomal RNA, 500 nt
Filed under: uncultured bacterium
Lineage: Bacteria
Description: partial 16S ribosomal RNA
Rfam family: Bacterial small subunit ribosomal RNA
Source: RNAcentral
ACUCAAAGGAAUAGACGGGGGCCCGCACAAGCGGUGGAGCAUGUGGUUUAAUUCGACGCAACGCGAAGAACCUUACCUGGGCUCGAACGGCUGCUGACGGUCAGUGGAAACGCUGGCCUUCCCGCAAGGGACAGUAGUCGAGGUGCUGCAUGGCUGUCGUCAGCUCGUGUCGUGAGAUGUUGGGUUAAGUCCCGCAACGAGCGCAACCCUUGUCCUGUUUUGGCAUGCCGAAAGGCGCAACUAUCAGGAGACCGCCAGCGAUAAGCUGGAGGAAGGUGGGGAUGACGUCAAGUCAUCAUGGCCUUUAUGUCCAGGGCUACACACGUGCUACAAUGGACGGUACAAAGCGCUGCCAACCCGCGAGGGGGAGCUAAUCGCAAAAAACCGUCCUCAGUUCGGAUCGCAGGCUGCAACCCGCCUGCGUGAAGCUGGAAUCGCUAGUAAUGGCAUAUCAGAACGAUGCCGUGAAUACGUUCCCGGGCCUUGUACACACCGCCCGU